Molecule: ribosomal RNA, 450 nt
Filed under: uncultured Glomeromycotina
Lineage: Eukaryota; Fungi; Glomeromycota
Description: SSU rRNA
Rfam family: Eukaryotic small subunit ribosomal RNA
Source: RNAcentral
AGCAGCCGCGGUAAUUCCAGCUCCAAUAGCGUAUAUUAAAGUUGUUGCAGUUAAAAAGCUCGUAGUUGAAUUUCGGGAUCAAUUAAUUGGUCGUGCCUCUGGUACGUACUGAUUUUAUUGGUUUCUCCCUUCUGACGAACCAUGAUGUCAUUAAUUUGGUGUCGUGGAGAAUCAGGACUGUUACUUUGAAAAAAUUAGAGUGUUUAAAGCAAGCUAACGCUUGAAUACAUUAGCAUGGAAUAAUGAAAUAGGACGUUUGAUCCUAUUUUGUUGGUUUCUAGGAUCGACGUAAUGAUUAAUAGGGAUAGUUGGGGGCAUUAGUAUUCAAUUGUCAGAGGUGAAAUUCUUGGAUUUAUUGAAGACUAACUACUGCGAAAGCAUUUGCCAAGGAUGUUUUCAUUAAUCAAGAACGAAAGUUAGGGGAUCGAGGACGAUCAGAUACCGUCGUAG